CCCCUCGAAACGAGGUCUCCCUUGAGGGCCGUGGAAGACGACCACGUCGAUAGGCCGGAGGUGCAAGCGCGGCAACGCGCUGAGCUGACCGGUACUAAUCGCCCGAUAGACUUGAUCGC
Molecule: ribosomal RNA, 119 nt
Filed under: Parafilimonas terrae
Lineage: Bacteria; Pseudomonadati; Bacteroidota; Chitinophagia; Chitinophagales; Chitinophagaceae
Description: partial 23S ribosomal RNA
Rfam family: Bacterial large subunit ribosomal RNA
Source: RNAcentral